Non-coding RNA from Aspergillus avenaceus, 82 nucleotides. Lineage: Eukaryota; Fungi; Ascomycota; Eurotiomycetes; Eurotiales; Aspergillaceae. The record is from the annotation of a GenBank genome assembly.
GCCCGGUUAGCUCAGUCGGUAGAGCGUGAGACUUUUAAGUCUGAUAAUCUCAAUGUCAGGGGUUCGAGCCCCCUAUCGGGCG